GAAGAACCAGGAUCUCAAAACUAUUCAGUCACAGGUUGAUAUGCUAGCGCUUCCUGAGCCGAGUCUCACAUCAUGUGGAAUACCCUGAUUUGAUCUAACUGCAAGGAACAGUUUCCCACUUUUAUACAUGGAGGUAUUUUGGAAGAGGGUUUUGUUUUUGUUUUAAAUGCAACCCUGCUGUUCCAGCUCACAUUUUGUUUUCCCUAAGAGAAAAGAAAAACAACUGGAAAAUGGAUAAGAACUGCAUUGUUCCAAUCCCUACUUUCUGCCAUUUCAGUUAAUUACUGUAUUGCAGAAGUUGGUGACACUUUUCAAGAAACUGAAGUGAGCUGACCAUUGUGAAGGAAGAGAGGCUGACAGCAGAAGAGAGAGGCAAAGGGAUAAUGCCCCAGAGGCAGAAAAAAGCCAUGAGCAAAUUGAAUUACCACAACCCAUCCCAGUGAGUCCUCUGCCCUCUCUUGUCUACCUCACUUUGCUCAUUUAACCUAAAGAAAGACUUGUAGUACUGUAAAAGAGUAAAAUCUAUCCCUAUAACAGACAGUGUGACUUAGACGCAUGAGGACAGCCUUUGGGCCUUGUAUUCCAGCUAUACAGGCAGCACUUCCAUGUGGGAGCAAGGCGGAUGUGGUACCCACCCUAUCUGCAGGACAUAGGCUGCAGCCAUCUAUGCCCUUGUGGCCCUAUCUUGGCUUGAUGAAUUCCUCUCCACCUCAUCCUCUAUCUUGUCAGUGCUGAGCAUCAUGAUGUUAAGCCUAUUGGAAUACUUGUCUUAAAUCACAUGGAAAUAUAAAGCUUCUUCUCACAGGUGAAAUUCAGAGGCAAACACAAAGACCUGCCUGGUGCUUACAAGCUUCAUUACAACUUGUGCUGGCCAUGAUGGUCUCCCACUCCAAAGGAAGUGCCUAUAGAGCUGUGCAAAACUCAUCCCAUCCUGCUGAGAAUUUUCAGAUCUCAGAUUUUGCUUUGUCACCAACACAAAGAAAGCCGACCAGCUCUCCUCAGUGCCUGUGCCUGUUCAGGCUGCUCCCCUUAUUGAUGGGAGAAGGUGCUUCUGCUGAGGGACCUGUCUCACUGGAGGUAAAGAUGGAUGCAGAUCAAGCUGAUGUCAAGACUCCCAGAGCCCUAGUUUUCCUCUAGCUUCUGCUCCUGACAGCUGGG
This 1158-nucleotide long non-coding RNA is filed under the name Gallus gallus (chicken). Lineage: Eukaryota; Metazoa; Chordata; Aves; Galliformes; Phasianidae. The record is from RNAcentral.